AUUGAACGCUGGCGGCAUGCCUUACACAUGCAAGUCGAACGGCAGCACGGGUGCUUGCACCUGGUGGCGAGUGGCGCACGGGUGAGUAUUACAUCGGCACAUGUCCUGUAGUGGGGGAUAGCCCGGCGAAAGCCGGAUUAAUACCGCAUACGAUCUACGGCUGAAAGCGGGGGACCUUCGGGCCUCGCGCUAUAGGGUUGGCCGAUAGCUGAUUAGCUAGUUGGUGGGGUAAAGGCCUACCAAGGCGACGACCAGUAGCUGGUCUGAGAGGACGACCAGCCACACUGGGACUGAGACACGGCCCAGACUCCUACGGGAGGCAGCAGUGGGGAAUUUUGGACAAUGGGCGAAAGCCUGAUCCAGCAAUGCCGCGUGUGUGAAGAAGGCCUUCGGGUUGUAAAGCACUUUUGUCAGGGAAGAAAUCCUUGGCUCUAAUACAGUCGGGGGAUGACGGUACCGGAAGAAUAAGCACCGGCUAACUACGUG
RNAcentral lists this ribosomal RNA (486 nucleotides) under uncultured bacterium. RNAcentral describes it as "partial 16S ribosomal RNA". It matches the Rfam family "Bacterial small subunit ribosomal RNA", at positions 30 to 507 of the family's 1533-position model. The record is from RNAcentral.